Long non-coding RNA from Oryctolagus cuniculus (rabbit), 1217 nucleotides. NCBI's taxonomy places the organism in Eukaryota, Metazoa, Chordata, Mammalia, Lagomorpha, Leporidae. The record is from Ensembl.
AUGGAACUUCUAAUGGGCCUAAUUUAUAAAGCAAGCUUUAUCACAGGAAUGCACAAAUGUACCGGAAACCACAGUACAUCAGAGUACUGCACAGGGAUCACGUGUGUACACACAGAGUACAUCAGAGUACUGCACAGGGAUCACGUGUGUACACACAGAGUACAUCAGAGUACUGCACAGGGAUCACGUGUGUACACAGAGUACAUCAGAGUACUGCACAGGGAUGCACGUGUGUACACAGAGUACAUCAGAGUACUGCACAGGGAUGCACGUGUGUACACACAGAGUACAUCAGAGUACUGCACAGGGAUCACGUGUGCACACAGAGUACAUCAGAGUACUGCACAGGGAUCACGCAUGCACAGAGUACAUCAGAGUACCUGGCCCAGCUCUGGCCAUGUCAGCCAUUUGGGGAGUGAACCAAAGGGUACAAAGUCUGUCUCUCUGACUCUCCCUCUUUCUAAUUCUGCUUUUCAAAUAAAUACAUAAAUCUUAAAGAGAUAAAUGCAACAUUACUCCAGGAAACCUGCUAGUGAAAGACACACGUGAAAUCCCACUGCAUGAACUCACUCAACGCCAGCAGCGAGGAGAGUCAGGGUCUCUGCAGACGGCAACGGUCAGCCCCUGCUGCUCACCUCCAGGCGCAAGAGGGUGAAGGGCUGGCCACGCCCAGCAAGCAAGCGGACGCGAGACCCUCACCACCACUCCCACUCCAGCCCAGGUCCUCUGACGGGGGCUGCACCCGGGGCGGGCCGUGAGGGAGGCCCACGCAGCGCAUGAGAUGCUGUGCAGGACCAGCACCGCAGUCUGCGAUGGGGAGACCACAAAUGCGGCACAGAUCACGCUGGCCACAGGAGCAGGUCACCUGCGGCAAAGACGAACCCGAACAGGGCCUCAGACGUCUGCUGUGACAAGCAAGGAGCCCGCAUAUCCAAGUGUGCUGAGACUACCUAUGCACACAGGUGUGUGGGCCACAGGAGCAGGUCACCUGCGGCAAAGACGAACCCGAACAGGGCCUCAGACGUCUGCUGUGACAAGCAAGGAGCCCGCAUAUCCAAGUGUGCUGAGACUACCUAUGCACACAGGCGUGUGGCCUGAACAAAACUGAAGCCAGGCCUCGGGCCAGCACUGGGCCACAUUUCCUGACGGACCAGUCCUUGAGACUCCAAAACACAGCAAUUUCAUGAAGGUAAUAAAAAGUAAUUUUUUUAGAAACA